Priapulus caudatus is the source of this 438-nucleotide long non-coding RNA. RefSeq lists it as uncharacterized. The transcript has 3 exons. NCBI's taxonomy places the organism in Eukaryota, Metazoa, Priapulida, Priapulimorpha, Priapulimorphida, Priapulidae. The record is from RefSeq and is a predicted model, not a curated record.
AGGUAAUCACUAUACACCACGCCCUUAGCAUCCGAGUACACUAAUGACUCGGGGGCCGAUCUGCCAUGGUUAUUCCCCAGGUAACGAGUCGGCUCUCAUCCUUUCCGUAGCAAGUCCAGUUUUCGCCUAGCUCCUACACCCUAUUCCCGCUCUACCUUCCACCGACCUAUACCUUCACCCCGCCGAGCGCCUCCGCGAACCGCCUCUCUAAGCACGUGUUUUAUCGCAAUCAACGUGACGGCAUCUCUCUGCAAAGAGUCGCAGCUAACUUACUAUACCGACACCAUCGUAGCGCAUCGUUUCCGUAGAUGAUCACCAGAGACGACCCCCUGGAACUGCCCCCUCUUCACCAACCCGUCGCGCCUCACCCCACCCCUACGCUGGUGCGGGGGACCUCUAGUAAUCCCCGACCAGACAGACGACUGCGGCCUGGCGCAC